RNAcentral lists this ribosomal RNA (512 nucleotides) under uncultured Stenotrophomonas sp. RNAcentral describes it as "bacterial SSU rRNA". It matches the Rfam family "Bacterial small subunit ribosomal RNA", at positions 8 to 507 of the family's 1533-position model. The record is from RNAcentral. Lineage: Bacteria; Pseudomonadati; Pseudomonadota; Gammaproteobacteria; Lysobacterales; Lysobacteraceae.
AGAGUUUGAUCCUGGCUCAGAGUGAACGCUGGCGGUAGGCCUAACACAUGCAAGUCGAACGGCAGCACAGUAAGAGCUUGCUCUUAUGGGUGGCGAGUGGCGGACGGGUGAGGAAUACAUCGGAAUCUACUUUUUCGUGGGGGAUAACGUAGGGAAACUUACGCUAAUACCGCAUACGACCUACGGGUGAAAGCAGGGGACCUUCGGGCCUUGCGCGAUUGAAUGAGCCGAUGUCGGAUUAGCUAGUUGGCGGGGUAAAGGCCCACCAAGGCGACGAUCCGUAGCUGGUCUGAGAGGAUGAUCAGCCACACUGGAACUGAGACACGGUCCAGACUCCUACGGGAGGCAGCAGUGGGGAAUAUUGGACAAUGGGCGCAAGCCUGAUCCAGCCAUACCGCGUGGGUGAAGAAGGCCUUCGGGUUGUAAAGCCCUUUUGUUGGGAAAGAAAUCCAGCCGGUUAAUACCUGGUUGGGAUGACGGUACCCAAAGAAUAAGCACCGGCUAACUUCGUG